Molecule: long non-coding RNA, 389 nt
Organism: Lagopus muta (rock ptarmigan)
Lineage: Eukaryota; Metazoa; Chordata; Aves; Galliformes; Phasianidae
Exons: 2
Source: RefSeq, a predicted model, not a curated record
ACCCUAAAGCGGAUCUCUUUUAGACCUUCUGCUUACUCAAGCUUCUCUUUGAUGCCGGGGGAUUCUGUGGGGGAGAGUGAUUUGGAGGGUGGAGUUACAGACCCUGAGAUUGCUUUGAAGGAGUCACUGAAGGAUUUGCAGAGCCUCCAGGAAGGAAGAACAGGAAAUGUGAAUCUGACAGAUGCUGAGGGGGCAUGAGGUGACGGAGCACUGGAACAGGCUGCCCAGGGAGGUGGUGGAGUCUCCUUCUCUGGAGAUGUUCAAGACCUGCCUGGAUGCCUACCUGUGCGACCUGCUGUAGGGAACCUGCUUUGGCAGGGGGGUUGGAGUUGAUGAUCUCUGGAGGUCCCUUCCAACCCCUGCAAUUCUGUGAUUGUAUUGGGUGGGUU